GAAAAGAAACCAACAGGGAUUGCCCUAGUAACGGCGAGUGAAGCGGCAACAGCUCAAAUUUGAAAUCUGGCCUCGGCCCGAGUUGUAAUUUGCAGAGGAUGCUUCUGGCGCGGUGCCUUCCGAGUUCCCUGGAACGGGACGCCACAGAGGGUGAGAGCCCCGUAUGGUCGGACACCAAGCCUGUGUGAAGCUCCUUCGACGAGUCGAGUAGUUUGGGAAUGCUGCUCUAAAUGGGAGGUAAAUCUCUUCUAAAGCUAAAUACCGGCCAGAGACCGAUAGCGCACAAGUAGAGUGAUCGAAAGAUGAAAAGCACCUUGAAAAGGGGGUUAAAUAGUACGUGAAAUUGUUGAAAGGGAAGCACUUAUGACCAGACUUGGGCCGGGCGGCUCAUCAGGGGUUCUCCCCUGUGCACUCCGCCCGGCACAGGCCAGCAUCGGUUUUCGCGGGGGGAUAAGACCGACGGGAACGUAGCACCCUCCGGGGUGUGUUAUAGCCCGGCGGACGAUACCCUCGCGGGGACCGAGGACCGCGCUUCGGCAAGGAUGCUGGCGUAAUGGUCAUCAGUGACCCGUCUUGAAACACGGACCAAGGAGUCGUCCAUUAGAGCGAGCGUUUGGGUGUAAAACCCGCACGCGUAAUGAAAGUGAACGCAGGUGAGAGCUUCGGCGCAUCAUCGACCGAUCCUGAUGUUCUCGGAAGGAUUUGAGUAAGAGUUUUAACGGACGGACCCGAAAGACAGUGAACUAUGCUUGUAUAGGGUGAAGCCAGAGGAAACUCUGGUGGAGGCUCGCAGCGGUUCUGACGUGCAAAUCGAUCGUCAAAUAUGAGCAUGGGGGCGAAAGACUAAUCGAACUGUCUAGUAGCUGGUUACCGCCGAAGUUUCCCUCAGGAUAGCAGUGUUGAUCUUCAGUUUUAUGAGGUAAAGCGAAUGAUUAGGGACUCGGGGGCUAUAUAUUGCCUUCAUCCAUUCUCAAACUUUAAAUAUGUAAGAAGCCCUUGUUACUUAGUUGAACGUGGGCAUUCGAAUGUACCAACACUAGUGGGCCAUUUUUGGUAAGCAGAACUGGCGAUGCGGGAUGAACCGAACGCGGGGUUAAGGCGCCAGAGUGUACGCUCAUCAGACACCACAAAAGGCGUUAGUACAUCUUGACAGCAGGACGGUGGCCAUGGAAGUCGGAAUCCGCUAAGGACUGUGUAACAACUCACCUGCCGAAUGUACUAGCCCUGAAAAUGGAUGGCGCUCAAGCGUACCGCC
RNAcentral lists this ribosomal RNA (1255 nucleotides) under Phomopsis sp. FAU497. RNAcentral's name for it is "eukaryotic LSU rRNA". It matches the Rfam family "Eukaryotic large subunit ribosomal RNA", at positions 56 to 1342 of the family's 3401-position model. Lineage: Eukaryota; Fungi; Ascomycota; Sordariomycetes; Diaporthales; Diaporthaceae. The record is from RNAcentral.